GCUUGAAAUGACUCAAUUUUCCUGCAAAACACAUUUUUUUUUCCAUGGUGCUGGGGAUCCAAUCCAGGGCUUUCAUAUGUGCUAAGCUAAUACUGCACACUCAGUUUCAUUUGUAGCACCACAAAACAUUCAUUAUUUAAGAGAGUCUCACUGUGCACCUAAGCUGACUUAGGAUUCCAUCUCUCCUCCCCAGCCUUCCAAAUGUCACAUACUUACAAGCUUAUGGUUAAAAGGUACUCAGAUACACAGGUGUCAGGGAAAUGUUUUCUGGCUAUCCAGUGGAAGAUAGAAUCUCAAUGGGAGAUUGAGUCAAGUAGAUCUUGAAUUUGAGGCCAGCCCAGAAAUUAAAAAGAAAAAAGAAAGAAAGAAAAAAGAAUAUAUGUUCUAGAACUGUACUUAGAAUAGUCCUAAUGUAAAUGCUGAAGGAAAACCUAUAAGGAGCCCGUGUGGGGUUGCUGUGUGUGAACGUGCAAGCUGAUUAUUCUUAUUAAAUUCUCAUUAUUUAGAACGAGAACGUCAGGAAGUGGUGAUGAGAACAACAAAACCACGUUCUUUUCAAGAUGGAGUUAAAUCUUAGAAGAAACUCAGUUGAAUCGCUUCCCUGUACCUCAGCAGCUGUGAGGUGGAGAGCUGAGCAUGGUGGCCCAAUGCCCUCCAUCCCUGCACUGGGAGGCAGAAGCAGGCAGAUCUCUCUGAGUUUGAGACUAGCCUGGUCUACAUAGCAAGUUCUAGGCCAACCAGGGCUACAUAGUAAGACCCUGCCUUAAAAAGAGAGAGAGAGAAAAGAGAAAAAAAAGUGAGUAGUGUAUUAGUUAAGGCUCUCUAUAGGAACAAAACUGAUAGAUGAGUCUACAUAUAUGAUGGGGAUUUAUUAGAAUGGCUUACAGGCUGUGGUCCAGCUCAUCCAACAAGGGCUUUCUACCAACAGAAAGCCUAAGAACCCAGUAGUUCAGUCUGUGAGGCUGGAUGUCUCAGCUGCUUUUCAGUACACCAGAAUCCUGAAGAAGUAUGCUCUAAUGCCAGUGAAGGAAUGACCUUGCCAGAGAGUUUCCUUCUUCCUUGUCCUUUAUACAGGCUGCCAGCAGACAGUGUGGCCCAGGUUAAAGGUGGGUCGUCUUCCCACUUCAAAUGAUUUAACUCAGAAAAGUCCCUCCCAGGUGAACACAGUUGCUUGAGCCUUAGUUAAUCCCAGAUGCAAUCAGAUUGACACCAACAAUAGCCACCACACGUCAGACCCUUGUCACCUUGACACAAAAUCACAUCUUCUGAGGUAGCGUGGGUGUGAUGAGGUGGAGCCUGGAGGAUAACAAGUUGGAGAUCAGCCUGGUCCAUAAGAUGCAUCAUUUCAAAAUAGGAAAAAUUAGGGCUGGAGAGGAGAGAUGGCUGAGUGUUUGAGAACACUCAUUGACUGUUCUAAGGGACCCAGCUUAAAUUUCCAGCACAUAUGGCAGCUCAAAUCUGUAACUCCAGUCCCAGGGUUCCAACACCCUCUGAGGGCACAUGGUGUACAGACCUGCAUGUAUGCAAAACACCCAUACACAUAUAAUAGUGAUACUU
Molecule: long non-coding RNA, 1557 nt
Filed under: Mus musculus (house mouse)
Lineage: Eukaryota; Metazoa; Chordata; Mammalia; Rodentia; Muridae
Description: long non-coding RNA chr8:107188901-107190458
Source: RNAcentral